RNAcentral lists this ribosomal RNA (430 nucleotides) under uncultured bacterium. Its description in RNAcentral is "bacterial SSU rRNA". It matches the Rfam family "Bacterial small subunit ribosomal RNA", at positions 354 to 796 of the family's 1533-position model. The record is from RNAcentral.
GUGGGGAAUAUUGCACAAUGGGCGAAAGCCUGAUGCAGCAACGCCGCGUGAGGGACGACGGCCUUCGGGUUGUAAACCUCUUUUAGUAGGGAAGAAGCGAAAGUGACGGUACCUGCAGAAAAAGCACCGGCUAACUACGUGCCAGCAGCCGCGGUAAUACGUAGGGUGCAAGCGUUAUCCGGAAUUAUUGGGCGUAAAGAGCUCGUAGGCGGUCUGUCGCGUCUGCUGUGAAAACUGGUGGCUCAACCUCUAGCCUGCAGUGGGUACGGGCAGACUAGAGUGCGGUAGGGGAGAUUGGAAUUCCUGGUGUAGCGGUGGAAUGCGCAGAUAUCAGGAGGAACACCGAUGGCGAAGGAAGAUCUCUGGGCCGUAACGGACGCUGAGGAGCGAAAGCGUGGGGAGCGAACAGGAUUAGAUACCCGGGUAGUCC